CUUAUAGGCUGAAACACUUUUAAUACAAACUUUCUAUUGAGCAAUUUUCCUUGUUCUUAUUUGCAAUUUACUUUAACUUGGAUUAGUUUAAGUAAAUUUAAGUUCCUAUGCUUUUCAUUCUUUUGGCUAAAGUUUGAAUGUGUUCUUAGGAACCCUUAGAUUUGUUUCGUGGUGUAUCUGUAUCGAAGCAACCUUUGGCAAGCCAUUUUCAGUUGAGAAAUCAACAUAUCCUUUUCAUUUUUCCGUUGUUAUAAAACCACAAAAAUCACGAAAAUAAAUUCAUUAGAACGAAAACAGCAAACUACGUGUGCGUAUAGCUUGGUUUUGUUUUGAGGCAUAGCCAACCUAUAUCACGGUACUCCUUGACUCCUUCCCUUAUCUCUCCUCCCGGAAGGCCAGAACACAGACGCAGACCACGACUUCCUCUCUCUCUCUCCUCUAUUGAAGCGUACUCGAAAUUCUCCAUUGAAGGGGCUUCUGAGCUUUCUCUACUCCACUGAAGCAGUCUCAAAGGGUUUGGUUUGUGGUCUUGUGGAGCGUACUCGAAAUUCUCCAUUGAAGCGGCUUCUGACUUUCUGAGCUUUCUCUCCUCCAUUGAAGAAUUUGAAGCAGUCUCUAAGGGAUAUGGGGAUAGAGAGAGAGCAGAGUAGCACAUCCGAAGCCGAAAGAGAGGAAAAAAGGAUUGUGAUGCUGGCACUAAGCAAUGAAGGCUUGCCUUCAGAAAGACUACAAGGUGGUACUCAAUUAUAUCACACUCGUGCAGAAUGUCACUCGGUGGAUCUGAAGCACAAAUCAGCCAUUAUUUGCAAUAUAUUUGACUAAUCUUCAAAUGAUAUUUUGGGGCUGACAAGUAGAUAAGAUCUUCAUGAUAUAUCCCACACAAUCUUCAAGAAAUAGUGCUCAAAAUUUCAGCUGCAAGUGGUGUCUCAAACGGCUUGAUUUUGCUGAAUACUAUUUAAUCUUUCUUGAUCCACUUGCUGACUUUUUCUUGAAUAAAAUAUUCAUGAAAUUUUAAUAUAUUCUUCAUAUUUCCUUGA
Amaranthus tricolor (Joseph's coat) is the source of this 1037-nucleotide long non-coding RNA. RefSeq lists it as uncharacterized. NCBI's taxonomy places the organism in Eukaryota, Viridiplantae, Streptophyta, Magnoliopsida, Caryophyllales, Amaranthaceae. The transcript has 3 exons. The record is from RefSeq and is a predicted model, not a curated record.